RNAcentral lists this long non-coding RNA (323 nucleotides) under Homo sapiens (human). Its description in RNAcentral is "HSALNT0302496". The record is from RNAcentral. Lineage: Eukaryota; Metazoa; Chordata; Mammalia; Primates; Hominidae.
GAAAAAAAUGCACCAUUUUAGCCAAACCUGACAUUAACCAUAUGCCAAGCCUCUUGAUGAGACCCACAUACAUAUGAUUCUACAUCUUGCAAAGCUCACUAGGUGGACUUCAUGAACUUUAUUCACUGGAAAGCUCUGAUGCUCCAUGGAACAUGCAUGAUAGACAUAAGUCACCUCAAAAGUAUCCAACCAUGAUUCCAAAUCAGUUCCUGCUGUAAGAGAUUUCUAAUUUUGAUUUGAACUAGUCUCCAGAGCAGAAGGAUAUGUCACUGAAGCAGGUACCCUAGGAUGUUGUGCCAGGACACAAAGGUCAGGAUGGGUUA